GUCCACGCCCUAAACGAUGCAUAUUUGGUGUGGGCAGUUCAUUCUGUCCGUGCCGGAGCUAACGCGUUAAAUAUGCCGCCUGGGGAGUACAGUCGCAAGGCUGAAACUCAAAGGAAUUGACGGGGGCCCGCACAAGCGGUGGAGCAUGUGGUUCAAUUCGACGCAACGCGAAGAACCUUACCUGGGCUCGAACGGCUUCUCAACGGCUGUGGAAACAUGGCUAUCCCGCAAGCGAGUGGAGUCGAGGUGCUGCAUGGCUGUCGU
Molecule: ribosomal RNA, 264 nt
Filed under: uncultured bacterium
Lineage: Bacteria
Description: partial 16S ribosomal RNA
Rfam family: Bacterial small subunit ribosomal RNA
Source: RNAcentral